RNAcentral lists this long non-coding RNA (414 nucleotides) under Chinchilla lanigera (long-tailed chinchilla). RNAcentral's name for it is "lncRNA (ENSCLAG00000022250.1)". Lineage: Eukaryota; Metazoa; Chordata; Mammalia; Rodentia; Chinchillidae. The record is from RNAcentral.
UUGGAGUUUAAGUGGAAAUGCUAUCAGCAGCCAGACCCUUGAUCAACACUGACAGCUUUCUAGAUAAGCUCCCUUCUGGUUCUCAGGCUCCCCGGGGGUUUCAUGCCUCCCUGGCAUGGGUGUGGUUUUCGCUCAACUGUGCCACAGUUGCUCGUGCCAGGAUGCCAGAAAAUGCUGAUUAAAUAUAAUCAAGAAGAAGAUAAGCAGUAUGUGUCACGCAGUCCCCAAGGAGGAGACCAGACAUGGCAGAUAAUGCGAAGGAACUAAACUAAAGCAACGGAGGAAAGGGAAUGACUGGAUCAGAAAUAAUUAUUAACAGACACGUUAGGUGCCAGUGUACGCCAGGCACUCUUGUUAAUGCUGGUAAGUACACUUCUAUUUUUAGUUUAAGUUCAUGGUUGAGGAGCUACUAUC